CCUACGGGAGGCAGCAGUGGGGAAUAUUGCACAAUGCGGGAAACCCUGAUGCAGCGACGCCGCGUGAGUGAAGAAGUAAUUCGUUAUGUAAAGCUCUAUCAGCAGGGAAGAAAAUGACGGUACCUGAGUAAUAAGCCCCGGCUAACUACGUGCCAGCAGCCGCGGUAAUACGUAGGGGGCAAGCGUUAUCCGGAUUUACUGGGGGUAAAGGGAGCGUAGACGGCAGUGCAAGUCUGGAGUGAAAGGCGGGGGCUCAACCCCCGGACUGCUCUGGAAACUGUACGGCUGGAGUGCAGGAGAGGUAAGUGGAAUUCCUAGUGGAGCGGUGAAAUGCGGAGAUAUUAGGAGGAACACCAGUGGCGAAGGCGGCUUACUGGACUGUAACUGACGUUGAGGCUCGAAAGCGUGGGGAGCAAACAGGAUUAGAUACCCGUGUAGUC
This 440-nucleotide ribosomal RNA is filed under the name uncultured bacterium. RNAcentral's name for it is "partial 16S ribosomal RNA". It matches the Rfam family "Bacterial small subunit ribosomal RNA", at positions 338 to 795 of the family's 1533-position model. The record is from RNAcentral.